This 250-nucleotide ribosomal RNA is filed under the name uncultured bacterium. RNAcentral's name for it is "partial 16S ribosomal RNA". It matches the Rfam family "Bacterial small subunit ribosomal RNA", at positions 524 to 772 of the family's 1533-position model. The record is from RNAcentral.
UACGUAGGACCCAAGCGUUAUCCGGAUUUACUGGGCGUAAAGAGUUGCGUAGGUGGCAGAGUAAGUCGAUAGUGAAAACGUGUGGCUCAACCAUACUCACAUUAUCGAAACUGCUCAGCUUGAAGAUGAGAGAGGUCACUGGAAUUCCAAGUGUAGGAGUGAAAUCCGUAGAUAUUUGGAGGAACACCGAUGGCGUAGGCAGGUGACUGGCUCAUUCUUGACACUAAGGCACGAAAGCGUGGGGAGCGAA